AUAUAUUCUCUAUUCUCGACUGUAGUGAUUAGUUGAAGUUUGAGUUUGCUUUGUUGUUCUACUGAUUUGUAUUUUGAAUAUCUCAUUCCCUAAUAUUGUAUGAAUUACUGCUGGAUGUAUAAUUAGACUGAUAUAGGACCGUUGAACUAUUACUCCUUAGGUUUGUUUGAGCUUUUUUUAGUAGAAGAGCAAGUUCACGUUUGAAAAAUUGAAUAGCACAUGUUAGUUCAGUUGAUUUCUGUUAGUGUUUACAUGUAUAUGUCAAUUAACUGCAGUAUUGCUGUUUAUCUAGAACUGUGUUAAUAUCCAAUAACAAGAAAGGCCAUGCUCACUGUUGUAAUUGUGUUUAUAGGAAAGGACUUAGAGAUUUUAAUAAUAGAAGAAAAUUUAGUUCAUCUUUGGUAUUGAUUAUGAGCAUACUUGAUAUAGCGAUCAGUAACGUUAGCUUAAGUUUUGGUGUUCAAAUUGCUGGUUUCAAGCCUGGAAACAAAUGGUUCAAAUUUACUUUCAUGUAGUUCGUUUUUCCUGAUUGAAGUGUCAAUAGUAACGUAGGUUUUAAUAUUGAUAGUAGACUUGGCUGUGAAUUUGACAUGAAGCCUUGCGUUGGUAUGGGUUCGAACUGGAAAACUUCCCGUUUGUUUGGGCGCUCAGCAUUAGUUUGGGUCCCUCGUGGACUUCGGCUAGGGCUGAAGGCCGUUUGGAAUUCGAAGUGGCUCUAUAGCCCAUUGGGCCUCAGGUUUUUGUCACGCACGCCCAGAUUCAACAUUAUGUUCCUUCACAAUUGGGCCUGGGUCAAUAAGCAGUUGAUUUCAGUCAAAUAAACAAUAACAGAUUAGGAUUUUUUAUUUUUAGAGACAAGUAAUAUAGAAAAUCAUAGCUUACUUUAGGGUGAACCUUUAAAUAAAAAUGAGAUGAGACUCGCCAAAAAUACUAGAAAUUACGGGGCCCUCGAUAAAAAUUAUAUUAGUUUUAGACUUCGGGUUGUGGCGUUUAGUGAAUUUCGCGGCCUUCCCUGAAAAUAACAACGCGUUAGACACUUUAGGCGAGA
Molecule: long non-coding RNA, 1048 nt
Filed under: Nicotiana benthamiana
Lineage: Eukaryota; Viridiplantae; Streptophyta; Magnoliopsida; Solanales; Solanaceae
Description: long non-coding RNA (NBEN_LNC016055)
Source: RNAcentral